Long non-coding RNA from Gasterosteus aculeatus (three-spined stickleback), 878 nucleotides. Lineage: Eukaryota; Metazoa; Chordata; Actinopteri; Perciformes; Gasterosteidae. The record is from Ensembl.
UCGGCUCUUCCGGUCUGCGCGGUUGCUAAGCAGCUCUCUCGGCGUCGCACAGGUCGCCUCGUUGGCAGCAGCUCCUCCGGCGUUCAGCGGCCAGCGGCUCGUUUCCUACAAACUCAUCAUCGACCGCGUUUAACCCGGAAAUGGGUCCGCGCCGGUACCGGGGGAAGCGCGGCGGGGGGGGGCCACGGGCAACGGGACACCCCGCUGAAAGCCCCGCUGGGCACGCGAGUCAGUAAGAGACGGACACACGCGCACGCACACUUUACAUGUACAGGUGACGACGUAAAAUACACUAUAAGACUAAAACUAGAUUUACAUUUAGUUCACCAACCAAACAAUAAAGGAACCAAAGAAACAUCCGUGCUGUGUGACCUGCUUUCAGGGAGCAGGAGACUUGUGCACCAGCAGCGUUAUGAAACACUUCCAGAGGAGCCCGAGAUGGAGGAGAUGGACCUUCCAGAGGUUGCGAGCAUCAAGCUCGUCCCCUCCAGGUCGAUUCGGCAGAAGCUCGAAGACGAAGCCCUCAGAGCUCCUCAAACAUCCGCACAGCCAGACUCACCUGCAGGUCUCCAGAGGACCCCCGAGGCCUCUGAACCGGGUCACAUGACCCCGCCAAACCCGACAGUGACUCUGGGAAGCAUCACAUCGUCUGGGACGGAGUCGGACCCAACGGUCAGCUGUGAUGAGGAGGAGGAGGAGGAGGAGGAAGAGUUGUCUGUAACCCCCAGCAGCAGUCUUCCCUCCCCAGAGCUCCUGAGAGCAGGCAGCUGUGGAACCUCUACGAUUCAAGCUGAAAAGAACGGUGAGAUCAACAGAGAACCUGAUGCAGAGAGCAACAUACACGCAGACCCAUUUAAAUCAGGUAGAGAUCCGUAAAC